AUGCAUCAGCCGGUCUGGGCUCGUCCGCGCACGGGACUAUGCACCAGCGGAACACAUCUACCCCGAGCCGGACUGCAACUACAUCAACAUCUACACCGAGCGAUCGACUCCUCCACCGAGCAGAACUGCAUAACCUACACCGAGCUGUACGACUACAUCGUCAGAAAAAAAAAAUCUUUGUCAAGUACAUCUACAAGAAGCGACACCAACAUGCAUCGUCCACACGCCAGGCCGGUGUGGAAAGAGAUGCAAUUCUUCAUCGACUUCUCCGGCACGACACGGCGUCGACACACCGUCGCUGCAAGGGACGCCUUCAAGCGACACCAUCGUCGACACGCUGUUGCAACGCCAUAG
Molecule: ribosomal RNA, 354 nt
Filed under: Triticum aestivum (bread wheat)
Lineage: Eukaryota; Viridiplantae; Streptophyta; Magnoliopsida; Poales; Poaceae
Description: partial small subunit ribosomal RNA
Source: RNAcentral